Corylus avellana is the source of this 732-nucleotide non-coding RNA. Lineage: Eukaryota; Viridiplantae; Streptophyta; Magnoliopsida; Fagales; Betulaceae. The record is from RefSeq and is a predicted model, not a curated record.
UGGCGAGAGGAGCUCAGCUUUGGGAACUCACCGCAUGGAGACAGCGGAGUGGGCAUCGUUUCUCGCCAAACUCACCGACAUUUACAGCUCGAACUUUCUUGGGUUGCUCAAACGGAACCUUUGUUUGAGCACCUUCCUUCCUUCCCAACUUCAAAGGCAAUGCCGCGCACGGGAUCCAGCACUGGCCCCCAACUGCAAUUUCACCUUUCAGAAAUCUCCCUCCAAUGCAUGAAAUUAAAGAAGACCCAGGUGUUGAAUUUGCAAACAACUUCAAAUCUCCAAGCGAAUCACAUGGAUUUCGAAGAAAGAUCACAGUUUUCUUGGGAGUACAGCGGAGGUAAAAGAAGCAUCAGUAAAAGAAGAAACUUCCGGGGGAGAGAGAAAGAAAGACGCUUAUAAUGAAAUUCGAUCAAGAUUAAACAGUGUCGAUGGAUCCAUUACCCAUAUGUGCUCAGCAUUGUACUAAUAAUGCAAGAGAGAGAGAGAGAGAGAGAGAGAGAGUCGAGAAGAGCAGAAAAGAACAUGCACAUCUCACUUUCGCUCAGAGGAAAUCGGUGAACUAAUUGAAGGCGAAGGGAUCAGUAAUAAAUGGGUCUUUCCUAGCGAGAGCCAGAAGAAAACAACCUGACACGUGUCGCCUUUUCAAGGCACUUAUACGUGGCGGAAAAAGUGGUGCCAUCCCAUGUAUGUACUAGUGUAGCUCACGUUAUUUUAUUUUUUUUUUUUUUUUUU